RNAcentral lists this ribosomal RNA (323 nucleotides) under uncultured eukaryote. Its description in RNAcentral is "partial 18S ribosomal RNA". It matches the Rfam family "Eukaryotic small subunit ribosomal RNA", at positions 1470 to 1796 of the family's 1831-position model. The record is from RNAcentral.
CCCUUAGAUGUUCUGGGCUGCACGCGUGCUACACUGAUAUUGCCAAUAUGUCAUUCUUAUCCGUAAUGGAUUGGGUAAUCAAGUAAUGAAAUUUCAUGCUUGGAAUCGGUAAUUGCAAUUUUAUCGUGAACGAGGAAUUCCUAGUAAGCACUAGUCAUCAGCUAAUGUUGAUUAUGUCCCUGCCCUUUGUACACACCGCCCGUCGCUACUACUGAUUGGGUGUUCAAGUGAGAUGCUUAGACCCUUGUUGCAUGGUUCAUUAUUGUGCUCCGAAAGGAAAAAGUUUCAAGCUUGAGUGUCUAGAGGAAGUAAAAGUCGUAACA